RNA transcript from Scylla paramamosain (green mud crab), 2801 nucleotides. It is a transcript of the gene named ionotropic receptor 93a-like, with no coding region annotated. The record is from RefSeq and is a predicted model, not a curated record. Lineage: Eukaryota; Metazoa; Arthropoda; Malacostraca; Decapoda; Portunidae. The transcript has 9 exons.
AGUUACCAGUGCAUAAGAAUGCAUUGCAUUAAAUAGACCCGAAUAAUGAAAAGAUUCAUGUAAAAGUUACGAUAAACUACAAGGGACAUGAUCUUUUCCUCUGCGAGAUCUGGUUUUCAGCAGCAUUGCGGCAGACAGUGUGCAGUGUUGUGGAAUGGCCAUGGGCUCAUGUCGGUAAAGAGUGCUUUUGUCCUUUUCGCCAGCCACGAAAUGGAGUUCUUGGCUCCCCUUUGUAUCUGGUUGUCUUCCGUGUCUUGGCUCGUGUUGGUACUCGUAGGCUGGUUGGAGGGCAAUUCGGGUAAGUCUCCAUUGCCUUGUAGCGAUCUUUCACAAACACAUGGUUCAGAUAAAGAUUUUUCUCUUGAAAACUAGAUGUCGUUUGAAUAUUACAAUAUCCCUUGGUCAUACGUGUUCGUACUUAAGUCACUGCCAUGUAUCACAAUAACAGACAUGCUGUCACCUGCACACAGCCGUGGAGGACAGCUGGGAUGCUAACGCGGCCAUGGUGGUGAGAGACGUUCUGCUGGCGUCAUCAGAAAGCGACUCGUGUCUCGUCAUUAUUGCAGAAAACAGCUUGUUGUCUGAAAUGGAAACGUUUAUCGAGGCUUCGAGGAGCGUGGCGGUGUUUGAAUCAGUCACGAAUGGGUCGCGGCUCUCACAGAUAGUCACUCGUGCCCGCCAGGUGCGGAUAGCGUCGUGGAUGGUCGUGGUGGUGGUGGUGAGUAACGACCCAGUCUUCUUGGCUGCCUUCGCCCAACAGGCCCAUGAGGGUCGCCUGCUGGUGUGGGCCACGAAGUUCAUUGUCGUGAGCCGCCUUGCUCUGCACCGUCUCCACCCGCUCCACCAAAUUCUCGCCGUUACCAACUCCCUCUUGCUGAUGGUGCAUGGGGCGGCGGGGAUGAGCAGGUGUGUGGGUGUGUCUGUGUGGAAGCUCUGCAGUACACAGACGAGCCUCUCAUGAUCAGCAUGUAAAAGUCUGCUUCCAUGUAUGCUUGCGAACAGAGUCAAGGCCAAACUGAGCACCGCUGUUCAACUUCCAGGGCUACUGGAUGGAUGGUGCUGCCAUACCAGCGGCCUGGCGUCGGCCCGCUGCAGGUUGCAUCCUGGACGGCAGGGGACAACCUUUCAUUGCAUCGGCCUUUCUUCUGGGACAAAUUUAGCAAGCUGUCGGGAGAGACAAAUUUGGUGGUGGCGAUGGAACAGAAUCUUAGACAUACAGUAGUGGAGAAACCAGACCCGAGGACACCUGGAGGAGUAAGGGUGGAGUUCAAGGGAUUCAUGGUCACCGUUGUGAACUAUUUGGCGCAAGGACUUAACUUCUCAUACACAUUCAAACGGCCGCCAGAUGGGUCGUGGGGAGCAAAGAUACAGAAUGGCUCCUUCACUGGCAUGUUGGGCCAGGUCCACAGAGAGGAAGUGGACUUUAGCCCGGGACCUUUCGGUAACAACGCCGCUCGCUACGAGGCCGUCGAUUUCACUUGGCCGGUUUCCUUCGAGGAAGUCAAAGUCUUCGCUGGUCGAGGGAGUUCUGAGGUAGACCCGUGGGGCUUUCUGCUGCCCCUCGCCCCGUGGGUGUGGACGGCUUUGCUGUCAACUUUUCUUCUUCUCUCUGUCGCCUCAUCUUUCCUCUCCACCAGAUUUUCACAAGAAGACUUGGAUAGCAACGAAACCUUUGCUUCAAAUAUGUUAUAUUUUGUCAGCAUCGUGCUUCGUCAGUGUGAGUUACCAACAUUACGCAGCAAUAUUAUGAAUUUACAAGUUGACGCUUUGGUCUCUCUUGUUGUGGUGCAAGACAUUCUCCAAAUGUAAAUAAGUCUCGUCCAUCACAUUUAUUCUAGCAUUGCAUUAUGUUUAGAUAUGUAUCACAGUUUGCAGACGUAAUUUUCACGUCUCACACUGGAAUGAUGCAAUUAAGUCAGUGCCCACAGCUGUCUGGUAACACAUCUGUAACUCCCGGCGCUGGCAGCCGUGUGGAUGGGUGAGGGCGGGUGGUGGUGGCAACGCGUGGUGCUGGGCGUGUGGAUGCUGAUGACCAUGGUGCUGACGCGCAGCUACGAGGGCAACCUUAUGUCACUGCUGGCCGUGAGACACCUGCCCCAGCCCUACCAGACCCUCAGGGACGUGGUGGACGACCCCUCCGUGGUUAUGGUCUGGCACAAGGAAGGAGCACCCAUUCAAUCGGUUAUGGACGCUACGUCUGGGAUCUUCCACGAGGUGAAGUCGAGUGAAGAGCAAGGGCGUCUGAUGGCGUUGCCGGUAAUCAAAUAUCGCUCCAUCCUGGACGAGGUUAUAAGGCAGAAGAUAGUGAUCAUAGAUUAUGAGAGGAUAACGAGAGCUGCCAGAGGAGAACAUUUUUCUCGUACAGGUCUGUGUGACUUCUACACAGGAGAAGAGAAUAUCCAGGCCCAUUCCGUUGCCAUGAUCAGCCAGAAAGACAGUCCCCUCAUUCCACCUCUCAAUACACGGAUAAUAUCUAUGAUUGAGGCAGGACUUUAUAACUACUGGAACAAUGAAGGAAUCCCGAACUACAGUGCCUGUGAACGAGUGCCGACCAAGAUUACCAUCAGUUCGUCACUGUCCCUCAGGCAGUGCUGGGUAAGCAUCUUACUGUGAAUCAGGCAGUGCUGAGUGUGAUUCAGGCAUUGAUAGAUAGAAUUUUGCUACGUCUCAAGCAAUUCAGGCUAGCGGUCUUGAUGGGCGACCCGGGCAAAGCUGGGACCUUGUUCUGAUUCAGGCAGUGCUGGGUAAGGAUCUUGUGACUCGGGCAGUGCUAGGUAAGAAUCUUGUGAGUCAGGGAUUGG